UGAAGACGACGAGGUAGAUAGGCUGGGGGUGGAAGUGCAGCAAUGCAUGGAGCUGACCAGUACUAAUCGGUCGAGGGCUUAUCCAA
RNAcentral lists this ribosomal RNA (86 nucleotides) under Paenibacillus sp. CF095. Its description in RNAcentral is "partial 23S rRNA. Bacterial LSU". It matches the Rfam family "Bacterial large subunit ribosomal RNA", at positions 2839 to 2925 of the family's 2925-position model. The record is from RNAcentral. Lineage: Bacteria; Bacillati; Bacillota; Bacilli; Caryophanales; Paenibacillaceae.